This 84-nucleotide transfer RNA is filed under the name Patescibacteria group bacterium. RNAcentral's name for it is "tRNA-Leu". It matches the Rfam family "tRNA". Rfam says of the family: Transfer RNA (tRNA) molecules are approximately 80 nucleotides in length. Their secondary structure includes four short double-helical elements and three loops (D, anti-codon, and T loops). The record is from RNAcentral.
GCCCCGAUGCUGGAAUUGGCAGACAGGCAUGCUUCAGGAGCAUGUGCCCGCAAGGGCGUGAGGGUUCAACUCCCCCUCGGGGCA